RNAcentral lists this ribosomal RNA (252 nucleotides) under uncultured bacterium. RNAcentral describes it as "partial 16S ribosomal RNA". It matches the Rfam family "Bacterial small subunit ribosomal RNA", at positions 524 to 776 of the family's 1533-position model. The record is from RNAcentral.
UACGUAGGGGGAAGCGUUGUCCGGAUUUAUUGGGCGUAAAGAGCGUGUAGGCGGCCAGGUAGGUCUGCUGUGAAAACUCGAGGCUUAACCUCGAGAUGUCGGCGGAAACCAUCUGGCUAGAGUCCGGAAGAGGAGAAUGGAAUUCCCGGUGUAGCGGUGAAAUGCGCAGAUAUCGGGAAGAACACCCGUGGCGAAGGCGGUUCUCUGGGACGGUACUGACGCUGAGACGCGAAAGCGUGGGGAGCGAACAGG